AUACUGUACAUGUAUAAUUAUGCAUAGCACCUGCGUAAAGUCUUCAGUCUUCACCUGUUCACAGACAUUGUCAAAACAAUGUAAAAGUUGGAAUCUGUUCGGUCCACAUGUCCACAUGUCAAGCCACAUGUUGCCAUAAUCUGAUGAGAGUACCUCCUCAUGGAGCAUUGAUGAAGGACCAGGCAAGAAGAUAUAGACAUGAUGGCUAAUACCCUGAAGGUCACUUUAUGGAAAAUUUGAGGUGUCUUUAUAUAGACGUGAUAGAACUUUCUCCUAACCAUCACCGUGCAGAUAUAGCAGUGAGGAUAGAAGGAACAUACAUGUAUGCUGUCUACACUAGAAACCUGUCUUCUGCAGUGACUGCAUCUUUUAGGUAUUCAAGAUAUGAUGUGUAAGCAUAAAACAUAUUCCAAUACCAGCAUAUUUUACAAUAUUGUUGCUUACAAUUUUAGGAAAUUUUAUACCUUUCAACUGUUCAAAUGUAAUUUGAACUAUUUCAGUUUAUAAGUUUAGAGUCCUCAGAAAUUGGAACAUUCUUAUAUCCAUAAGAAGGAAAUAAACAUGAAAAGUCAUUACUAAAAGAGGGCACUAUUUGCAGAAAGAGAAGGUGCUACUGGUAUUUUCUUGAAGGAGGACCUGCAUGUAUUUGCUGUGUCAAUAUUGCACUUGCACACUGUCAAUAGCUUCUCUCGCGCAGGUGCUUCUCUCACUGUGGAUCAUUUAAUGGGGGUUUCAAUUUCUGACUUUCCAAUAAGGGCAGGGAGCCCAAAUAGAAGAUUUCAAAUGAAGACACUCAAGCUAAAGAGGGUAAUACAUGUAAGAUGCUGAACCAAAUUACUGAAGAUGUGCAGUCUGCUUUAUUAACAUUUGAAGAAGACUCCUGCAU
This 886-nucleotide long non-coding RNA is filed under the name Acanthaster planci (crown-of-thorns starfish). RNAcentral describes it as "uncharacterized LOC110982400, transcript variant X2". Lineage: Eukaryota; Metazoa; Echinodermata; Asteroidea; Valvatida; Acanthasteridae. The record is from RNAcentral.